CCUACGGGAGGCAGCAGUGGGGAAUCUUGCGCAAUGGGCGAAAGCCUGACGCAGCGACGCCGCGUGGGCGAAGAAGGCCUUCGGGUUGUAAAGCCCUGUUGGGGGGGAAGAAGGAGUGACGGUACCCCCUGAGGAAGCCCCGGCUAACUCCGUGCCAGCAGCCGCGGUAAGACGGAGGGGGCGAGCGUUGUCCGGAAUCACUGGGCGUAAAGGGCGCGUAGGCGGCCUUUUAAGUCGGUUGUGAAAGCCCCGGGCUCAACCUGGGGAGGCCAGCCGAGACUGGGAGGCUUGAGUGCAGGAGAGGGAAGUGGAACUGCCGGUGUAGCGGUGGAAUGCGUAGAUAUCGGCAGGAACACCCGCGGCGAAGGCGGCUCCCUGGACUGCGACUGACGCUGAGGCGCGAAAGCCAGGGGAGCGAACGGGAUUAGAUACCCCUGUAGU
RNAcentral lists this ribosomal RNA (441 nucleotides) under uncultured bacterium. Its description in RNAcentral is "partial 16S ribosomal RNA". It matches the Rfam family "Bacterial small subunit ribosomal RNA", at positions 338 to 794 of the family's 1533-position model. The record is from RNAcentral.